Molecule: long non-coding RNA, 1318 nt
Filed under: Homo sapiens (human)
Lineage: Eukaryota; Metazoa; Chordata; Mammalia; Primates; Hominidae
Description: non-protein coding lnc-SLC35F5-16:4
Source: RNAcentral
AUUGGAGGAAAGAUGAGUGAGAGCAUCAACUUCUCUGACAACCUAGGCCAGUGUGUGGUGAUGCCAGGCAUGCCCUUCCCUAGCAUCAGGUCUCCAGAGCUGCAGAAGACGACGGCCGACUUGGAUCACACUCUUGCAGGGCCAUCAGGCACCAAAGGGAUUCUGCCAGCAUAGUGCUCCUGGACCAGUGAUACACCCGGCACCCUGUCCUGGACAAGCUGUUGGCCUGGAUCUGAGCCCUCGUGGAGGUCAAAGCCACCUUUGGUUCUGCCAUUGCUGCUGUGUGGAAGUUCACUCCUGCCUUUUCCUUUCCCUAGAGCCUCCACCACCCCGAGAUCACAUUUCUCACUGCCUUUUGUCUGCCCAGUUUCACUAGAAGUAGGCCUCAUCCUGACAGGCAGCUGCACCACUGCCUGGCGCUGUGCCCUUCCUUUGCUCUGCCCGCUGGAGACGGUGUUUGUCAUGGGCCUGGUCUGCAGGGAUCCUGCUACAAAGGUGAAACCCAGGAGAGUGUGGAGUCCAGAGUGUUGCCAGGACCCAGGCACAGGCAUUAGUGCCCGUUGGAGAAAACGGGAAUCCCAAAGAAAUGGUGGGUCCUGGCCAUCCGUGAGAUCUUCCCAGGGCAGCUCCCCUCUGUGGAACCCAAUCUGUCUUCCAUCCUGUGUGGCCGAGGGCCAGGCUUCUCACUAGGCCUCUGCAGGAGGCUGCCAUUUGUCCUGCCCACCUUCUUAGAAGCGAGACGGAGCAGACCCAUCUGCUACUGCCCUUUCUAUAAUAACUAAAGUUAGCUGCCCUGGACUAUUCACCCCCUAGUCUCAAUUUAAAAAGAUCCCCAUGGCCACAGGGCCCCUGCCUGGGGGCUUGUCACCUCCCCCACCUUCUUCCUGAGUCACUCCUGCAGCCUUGCUCCCUAACCUGCCCCACAGCCUUGCCUGGAUGUCUAUCUCCCUGGCUUGGUGCCAGUUCCUCCAAGUCGAUGGCACCUCCCUCCCUCUCAACCACUUGAGCAAACUCCAAGACAUCUUCUACCCCAACACCAGCAAUUGUGCCAAGGGCCAUUAGGCUCUCAGCAUGACUAUUUUUAGAGACCCCGUGUCUGUCACUGAAACCUUUUUUGUGGGAGACUAUUCCUCCCAUCUGCAACAGCUGCCCCUGCUAACUGCCCUUCUCUCCUCCCUCUCAUCCCAGAGAAACAGGUCAGCUGGGAGCUUCUGCCCCCACUGCCUAGGGACCAACAGGGGCAGGAGGCAGUCACUGACCCCGAGACGUUUGCAUCCUGCACAGCUAGAGGUCCUUUAUUAAAAGCACACUGUUGGUU